AUUGAUUUAUCAACUUCUAAUACUUUUUAAAGAGCCCCUAUUGUGGGUUUUGAAAAUGAGCUUCCAUGUAGUGUGUAACACAGAUCUAAGUGAAGUGAAAUAUCCAGCUAAGGCUUAAAUCUGAAAGUGGACAGUUUUAAAAACUAUUGAUUCAUCUAAAAAAAAGAGUCGACUCAUUAUGGUUAGAAUGAAUCGUCUUCAUAACGAGUCUUUAGCCGUUUUAACGUGACGUGACUACGAAACAUAGUUGUUAUGGGCGCAAACCCAGGAAAAUUUAAACCUGCGUCCCGUCCACUAACACAGCCUCGAAGACAAACAGAUCCUGAAGUCAUGAGUCAAGAAGACGCUGUGCUUGCCUGGAUAUUAUUGGAAGUGUGAGGGGAAAUAAUUGAUUCAGCAGUCUACACGCUUACAGAGGGCGAUUCAUCCGUUUGAUAAAGGAAGGAUCAGAAAAGACUGGUGUAUGAGACUUGUGAGAAUGAGCAGACAAUACACCAGGCGUGCAUGCAAAAUAAGGCCAGUUUAUUAUGCAUAAAGGCAGCCUGCUACAAUCUGGUGAGCACUACAACCCCUUGGCUGGGGAUGGGAUCUUUGGGCAAAGCAGAGUACAGGUAAGCCCUGAGAACAUAGAACACUUCACGCAAGAGGUGCCACAGCAAUAAUUGCAAAUAGAAAUGAUCUAAGUUACAGCUGAGAAGGGAGAAAAGCUCAGUCACGGAAAUCACGCUCAGUAAAUGAUGUGCACGCUAUCAGUUUCAUUUUCACUGCUAAGUGCCGUUCAUACUUCCCGUGCAGGGGGUUAUGACGGUCACAGGGUUAUCGCGCGGGCCGUCCGCCGGGGGCUUGAAAAACCUGGCAUUUGUUUAGCGCUGAACGCUGUCGACCAAUCGCAACAGGCUGUCAUCGGUCUAAUCAGUGCAGAUUAGCUUCGCGCUAAGGAGGGGUUUGGGAACAAAUGAAUCGCUGAACAAUUCAUAUAGGAGUCGCUGGGAUAAUUGGGUAAAAAUAAAUGCAUAUUAUAAGACCAUGAAAGUGUUUUUUGACCUUGCAUGCAUAUCAGUAUGUUGUUGGAGACCAUAUAACUGAAAUAUGACCCUUUUUAUGUAUAA
RNAcentral lists this long non-coding RNA (1109 nucleotides) under Danio rerio (zebrafish). RNAcentral describes it as "lncRNA si:dkey-167o9.3 (ENSDARG00000096837.2)". Lineage: Eukaryota; Metazoa; Chordata; Actinopteri; Cypriniformes; Danionidae. The record is from RNAcentral.